GUUCAACGGCCGCGGUAUCCUAACCGUGCGAAGGUAGCGUAAUCACUUGUUCUUUAAAUGUGGACUAGUAUGAAUGGCACUACGAGGGUUAUACUGUCUCCUUUUUCUAAUCAGUGAAACUAAUUUUCCCGUGAAGAAGCGGGAAUAUAACUAUAAGACGAGAAGACCCUAUGGAGCUUUAAACAACCCAGCAAUUACUUCUAAAAUUUUAAAUUUCAGAAUAUUCAUUCUUUAAGUAGUAUGUUUGCAAGUUUUUGGUUGGGGUGACCAUGGAGAAUAACAUAACCUCCACAUUGAAUGAAUUCCCUUCUAAGCUGAAAAUCACCAAUUGAAGCAUCAACACACUGACAUCUAUUGACCCAAUAUAUUUGAUCAACGAACCAAGUUACCCUAGGGAUAACAGCGCAAUCCACUUCAAGAGCCCCUAUCGACAAGUGGGUUUACGACCUCGAUGUUGGAUCAGGAUAUCCCAGUGGCGCAGCUGCUACUAAAGGUUCGUUUGUUCAACGAUUAAAACCC
RNAcentral lists this ribosomal RNA (519 nucleotides) under Rhinella hoogmoedi. Its description in RNAcentral is "partial 16S ribosomal RNA". It matches the Rfam family "Bacterial large subunit ribosomal RNA", at positions 1922 to 2596 of the family's 2925-position model. The record is from RNAcentral. Lineage: Eukaryota; Metazoa; Chordata; Amphibia; Anura; Bufonidae.